This is a long non-coding RNA of Sparus aurata (gilthead seabream), 4080 nucleotides long. The record is from Ensembl. Lineage: Eukaryota; Metazoa; Chordata; Actinopteri; Spariformes; Sparidae.
UCGAUAUUUAGAAGCAUUUCAAAUUAUUAAAUCAAUUACAAAGAAAUAAGAUUCUCUACUUAACACACUAUUUCUUAACGUCGUAUCUUGACGUUUUCUCUUCCAUGUGGAUAUUUAUGAUGGAUCUCUUAUUCUAGUAUUAAAUAAAAAAUGUAGCUCGUCCUCAACUCUUUAUUAUCUCGACCUGAAUCCCACGCUGGGAGGGAAACAGUCUGAACAGGGUGUUGUAAUUAGUUAAAGGAGCAUUAUGUAGUUUUAAAAAUUCACAAAAAUUCUUUCUACAAUAUCGAUCAGGUAAAAACACAGGCUGAGAAAUUUUCAGAGGAAAUUCAGGUCCACGAAAACACUGUUUGUUUAUAUUUGGCGGACCCUGCCACCUUUCUGUCUACGCAGUUAAACAAAGUGAACUGGUGUUGCCCUCAACAGUCAGUUUGUUUAUUCAGUUUAUUUGGGCACGAAAACAAAGAGAGUUUCUUUGUUUAGUUUGUUUCAGCAUGAAAACAAAAAAAUGAGUCGAUGAAUCAGACUUUCUUUUCUGAUUCGAAUUUUUUCUCUAAAACUACAUAAUACACCUUUAAAAGCUAAAUGACAAAAACUUUACACUAAAACUUGACACAAUGUAGCCUAUGUGUUUUUUUCCAGCAGCUAUCAGUGGACAUAAGAGAUGCAGAGACGACAGGAAGAGUCAAAGGCUGCCACCUGAGAGCGUCCAGAACGGACCUCGCCCCGAAGGUAUGGACAAGCUUCUCAUCACUCUCUUUCUGUCUCAUCAUCGUGUUGACUGGCUGGCUGGCACGCCUGAGGACACGAGGCGGCCAGACAUAGGCACUGGCAGGUAUGUGCACACAGACAUACACUCUGGCAGGUGCAGGCUGCCAGUCGCUUCUUCAGUGUUGCUUUUCAUUAACUUGUCUAAUACAAUCAAAGACUGUCAGCAGGAGUGACAGGAGGAGAAAGAAGGAGAAGACAAGGAGUGGAGAGAGAGAUCGCCUCCUUAUUUUUUUUUUUUUUAACAGAUAUGACUCUGUCCAUGCGUCCAAAAUUGAACUUCCUUUUUCUGUCUGAUAACAUUGUGUCUGGCGCCUUUUGUCACUCCUUAAAUGUCCUCAGGCGUUUGUUGCACGCACAGAUGCGUCCCGUGCACACAGGUACAGGUGAGAAAAUGCAGCGAGAAAGGUAUGAGCGCUCUGGGCAGCGUAACAUUCUACACUGUCAGCUCGUCAAGGGCACACCUGCAAAGCAGAAGAAACGAGUAACAUGUAUCGUUGUUGAAAAGCGACAUUUUCACCAAUGCAAUCAGGACGUUUAGUGAAAUGCCACAGCUUAAUGAAAUAACGCCAGAAUACAUUUACCUCUCUGCAUAAACCGAUGGCUUAUUUCUUUGCUUUCGGGCGCCGCGUCACUUUGCUAAAGGUUAAAGGGAAGAUAUUCUAAUCAGGGACUCUUUACAGAACAGCAGCUCAAUAAGGUCAACUGGUGUCACAACAUUCAGGCUGGAGAGCGGAAUGUGUGUGUACAAGUGUGUGUACAAGUGUGUGUACAAGUGUGUGUGUGUGUCUGUUGCUUUUGCAGUGUUUGUAUUUCUUAUCUUAUCUUUAUUAAUCCUCAUUUUAUAGUUUUUAUUGUUGUCUGUCCAUUUUCAUUCCAUUAAAAUAAUGUCACUACAUCCCACACACACACACACACACACACACACACACACACACACUCAUAUGUAAAGCGCUGGUGUCUGACGGGGUGAUCCGCCGGCCAAUCGGCUGUAUUGAUUAUUGGGCCAGGGGAGGUUGGUGGAGCGGCAGCAGUAAUUAGGGCUUUUUGGUGUGGAUUAGCUGAGAGAAAAGGUCACCCGCUCAACAUCAGUGGCAGGACCGCAGGCAGGGACAGCGACAGGGAGGGCUGGACGGGUGGAGGGGGCCAUCCCCAAACGUGAUCACCAUGAUUGGCAGGGCCGUGUGCAUACAGACAGGUGCGCACAAGCAGAAAUGAAGUGACAGUCUGAAAGGUAAAUCUUGGAGUUUUUAAGGAAAUGCAUUUUUUUUUUAUGGUUGUUGUAAAACUGUGCUCGUCAAAGUCAGUGUUGAGACACAGGAGCAGGGUGACAUCGAAAAUCUGAUGGGGCAAGACACUUCAUUGUUCAGACAAAGUUGUUAACAAGCCAGCGCGUUAGAAACACUGUCAAAACCAGUUUGCCUGGAGGUAAAACCCAAAGUGAGCUCACCCUUUAUGUCAACAAAAUUCUCCCUUCGCACAAGAAAAACUGCUUGCACAGACCUACAGUAGGUGGCGUCCUGUAAAGUUAAACCAAGGUGUCGGUUUGGGUCAUGAUUUCACAGUUUGCCUUUGUUUUGAUCUGUUUGAAGGCAAACUCCAACGAUUUUACACACGAGCUUGAUUCCAGGUUUUGGGGAGAGCAACUGCGUAUGUGAAAAGAGUCGCAAUUGUGUUGGAUGCGGCUGAAGAUAACAUUUGUGUCAGCACCUCACCGCUGCUUAAUGCUGCGUUAGCCACUGCUAACUGCACUGUUACUUCAUAACAUACCCAAAUUUUAGAGCAAAAUGUUGGUGGCCCAGUUGCAUUACAGCCUCACAUAGUGUACACAUAUCUCAGGUGAAUGGCACGUCUGUGGAAAAUCUUGUUUUUCAUUUUGGCACCCAUGUUAAAGGUGAGAAAUUCGGCUCAUGUGAACCACAUGCAGAACUGCAGUAAAGCCGCAAAUGUGUUUAUGACUAUCGCAGAGCCCGUUCGGACCAUUAAAUUUGAUACAGAUUAUGUCAAAUGAUUAUUAGCCAGACAACAAGAGCUGAUGAGAGCGCUGGAGCAAUGUUUCUAGCCCUUGAAGCUAAUGUUUGCUAGCAUAUUACUGUUGACAGAAACUUAAAAUCUCACCCCCAGUUUUCCGGUGAAUAUUAAAUGUUUCUUGUGUCCAAACUGCACCACAUCCAAAACCACAACUCCUUUGGUCCUCAGCAGCAAACCAGCAAGUAUGAAGUUGAUCAGAUGAAAAAUUCUUGAGGAAUGCAAAUAAGAUCCAGACAAAGAUUCCUUGCUCUAGUGAAAUAUGGUUACAUUUGUAUGUUGGAUGGCAGGGCAUGGUUGCCUGUCGCAUAGCAUAUUAUGUUAACAUGCCUUUAUUGUGUCCUGUCUGAAUAUCUGGUGACACUUUCUAUCCUCACACAGUCUGUUUGGAUUUUGCAGUCCACCCCGAGUUGAGUAAAGUUUUGCCUGAUUGGAAUUGAGGUUUUUCCGACGUCUGACUUCUUUUAAGCAAUAUCGCCACAUUCCUGAGCGAAAUGUUUUAAGCUAUUGUACCAAUGACCGAGCAAGAAAAAAUGUGUUUGAAGUUCUACAGCAAUAACCUCUAACACAUGCAUAAAUAGAUGAAGUGCAGGUGGGCAGAUACAAGUUUGGAUGUUCUCAGACUGUGCAAAGACAUUUAAACCCUCAUUUACUGUAAGUGCAUCAAAAUAAUUAUAGUAUCUGUCUCUCUCUGUGUCUGUCUCUCUCUCUCUCUCUCUACAGACCUGCAGGUUGACUUUUCAGUGGUAUGUCAGGACUGACUGUAUCUCAGAGGGGUCAUGACCUACCCAGACUGUGACCUGGACAAACAGGACCGAGGAGCUGCAGCAGGACACGGAAUGUCCCUCUUGUUUUGUUUUCGUUUCACUUUUUUGUUGAGAAGCUGGAAUAUGCCUCCCUCUGCACUUGCCGGAGCAAAAGAAAACAUUUUCUUGGCAUCACAUGAGGCGGUUUACAUAAGAGAACGUUGUGUGAGUGUAACGAAAUUAUAAAAGCUUACGCAGUGCUCUGUGUUGCAACUGAAGACGCAUUAUUCUUUCUUUUCUCUUUGUGACUGUCGUCUUCUAAAGCCACUGAGAAUGUAAUUUAUUUUAGGAGCAGCACUUUUUCUUUGUGAACAUAUUUUUGGUGUUAGCACAGCCACUUUAUCUGUACAGUCCCAGAUUAUAUAUGCUCGCUCUGCGUCUGGUGCCAUGUGGAACCAAUUUAUUCUUAAUAAAAAAAAACAAUGUGAGUGAUUUAGAAGGUGUCCACUUGUCUGCAUUUACUGGGUGUCAGCUCCCC